AGAGACAGCAGCCGCCACGGUAAUACGUAGGUGGCAAGCGUUGUCCGGAAUUAUUGGGCGUAAAGCGAGCGCAGGCGGUUAGAUAAGUCUGAAGUUAAAGGCUGUGGCUUAACCAUAGUACGCUUUGGAAACUGUUUAACUUGAGUGCAGAAGGGGAGAGUGGAAUUCCAUGUGUAGCGGUGAAAUGCGUAGAUAUAUGGAGGAACACCGGUGGCGAAAGCGGCUCUCUGGUCUGUAACUGACGCUGAGGCUCGAAAGCGUGGGGAGCAAACAGGAUUAGAGACCCCAGUAGUCCCUGUCUCUUAUACA
RNAcentral lists this ribosomal RNA (309 nucleotides) under uncultured bacterium. Its description in RNAcentral is "partial 16S ribosomal RNA". It matches the Rfam family "Bacterial small subunit ribosomal RNA", at positions 504 to 808 of the family's 1533-position model. The record is from RNAcentral.